GGGGUUGUAACUCAGUUGGUAGAGUGUCUGCCUGAAGAGCAGAAGGUCAGUGGUUCGAUCCCACUCAGCCCCACCA
This 76-nucleotide transfer RNA is filed under the name Acinetobacter phage TAC1. RNAcentral describes it as "tRNA-Phe". It matches the Rfam family "tRNA". From Rfam's summary of the family: Transfer RNA (tRNA) molecules are approximately 80 nucleotides in length. Their secondary structure includes four short double-helical elements and three loops (D, anti-codon, and T loops). Further hydrogen bonds mediate the characteristic L-shaped molecular structure. tRNAs have two regions of fundamental functional importance: the anti-codon, which is responsible for specific mRNA codon recognition, and the 3' end, to which the tRNAs corresponding amino acid is attached (by aminoacyl-tRNA synthetases). tRNAs cope with the degeneracy of the genetic code in two manners: having more than one tRNA (with a specific anti-codon) for a particular amino acid; and 'wobble' base-pairing, i.e. permitting non-standard base-pairing at the 3rd anti-codon position. RNAcentral also lists the same sequence under 1 other name. The record is from RNAcentral. Lineage: Duplodnaviria; Heunggongvirae; Uroviricota; Caudoviricetes; Luriaviridae.